This 505-nucleotide ribosomal RNA is filed under the name uncultured bacterium. Its description in RNAcentral is "partial 16S ribosomal RNA". It matches the Rfam family "Bacterial small subunit ribosomal RNA", at positions 28 to 507 of the family's 1533-position model. The record is from RNAcentral.
GACGAACGCUGGCGGCGUGCCUAAUACAUGCAAGUAGAACGCACAGUUUAUACCGUAGCUUGCUACACCAUAGACUGUGAGUUGCGAACGGGUGGGUAACGCGUAGGUAACCUGCCUGGUAGCGGGGGAUAACUAUUGGAAACGAUAGCUAAUACCGCAUAAUAUUAAUUAUUGCAUGAUAAUUAAUUGAAAGGUGCAAUUGCACCACUACCAGAUGGACCUGCGUUGUAUUAGCUAGUAGGUGAGGUAACGGCUCACCUAGGCGACGAUACAUAGCCGACCUGGGAGGGUGAUCGGCCAAACUGGGACUGAGACACGGCCCAGACUCCUACGGGAGGCAGCAGUAGGGAAUCUUCGGCAAUGGACGAAAGUCUGACCGAGCAACGCCGCGUGAGUGAAGAAGGUUUUCGGAUCGUAAAGCUCUGUUGUAAGAGAAGAACGGGUGUGAGAGUGGAAAGUUCACACUGUGACGGUAUCUUACCAGAAAGGGACGGCUAACUACGUG